GGGCUCCACAUUGGGUUGGGAAAUAUUAUUUUGUUCUCAAGUCAAAUGUCUACUCAAGUUUCCCUCCUAACACUCCAGAGAGCCCUAGAAAGCAGAAAAGAGAUAGAAGGCUCAGGUAGGAGGAAAUAAGAACUAUGAAGCUGCAGAAGGGAGGUAUUUCCCUUUUGUGAUGCUCUGAACUUAGUCUGGUUUGCAUUGUGUACCUCUGCAGAUGGCCUCUUCUUUCCUAAUGGGGCUGUUGCCAUGUUGCUGCUUAGCAUCCCCGGAUCUGAGCAAGGAUUCCUCCCGCCUCCCCCCCCCCAGGAGUACUGGUGACUCAGCUCCUCUUCUCUGACUGCAGUUGAGGGGGGGGGAUGCUGAAAGCAGAGACUAUUUUGGCUUCUCUGACCUUCAAAAGCAGUCUUGGCAGCCAGGGGCAAGGGUGGGGCCGUUGCUGU
RNAcentral lists this long non-coding RNA (437 nucleotides) under Marmota monax (woodchuck). Lineage: Eukaryota; Metazoa; Chordata; Mammalia; Rodentia; Sciuridae. The record is from RNAcentral.